Telopea speciosissima is the source of this 131-nucleotide long non-coding RNA. RefSeq lists it as uncharacterized. The transcript is spliced from 3 exons. NCBI's taxonomy places the organism in Eukaryota, Viridiplantae, Streptophyta, Magnoliopsida, Proteales, Proteaceae. The record is from RefSeq and is a predicted model, not a curated record.
UAUUUCAUCAUUUGCUGGUUGGCAUUUUUUAUCGUGGAGAUUUGCUUGCUUGCGGGUUCUGUGAGGAAUGCCUACCAUACCAGAUACAGGACAGUUUUUGGGGACCAACCUCCUUCUUGCGAGAUCUUGAG